CCUACGGGGGGCUGCAGUAAGGAAUAUUGGUCAAUGGGCGGAAGCCUGAACCAGCCAUGCCGCGUGCAGGAAGACUGCCCUAUGGGUUGUAAACUGCUUUUGUACCGGAAUAAACCCUUUUACGUGUAAGAGGCUGAAUGUACGGUAAGAAUAAGGAUCGGCUAACUCCGUGCCAGCAGCCGCGGUAAUACGGAGGAUCCAAGCGUUAUCCGGAUUUAUUGGGUUUAAAGGGUGCGUAGGCGGCUUUUUAAGUCAGAGGUGAAAACUUGCGGCUCAACCGUAAGCUUGCCUUUGAUACUGAAGAGCUUGAAUGAACUAGAGGUAGGCGGAAUGUGACAAGUAGCGGUGAAAUGCAUAGAUAUGUCACAGAACACCAAUUGCGAAGGCAGCUUACUAUGGUUUAAUUGACGCUGAGGCACGAAAGCGUGGGGAUCAAACAGGAUUAGAUACCCGUGUAGUC
Molecule: ribosomal RNA, 460 nt
Filed under: uncultured bacterium
Lineage: Bacteria
Description: bacterial SSU rRNA
Rfam family: Bacterial small subunit ribosomal RNA
Source: RNAcentral